AGGCCUUUGUGGCUGUGGCCCCACCUGCCCCACAGCCCAGCCAGCCCUCAGUUUUGCCCCCACACCUGCAGCACAGUGGUACCAGAAUGUCUGGCAGGGCUCUCACUGCUGAACAGCUCGUGGUGAUCACAUCAAGGGGCGCUGGAGAUGUUUCAGGCUGCAUGUGGCUGCCCCAAAACAGAGGUGCCUGUGCUUUGUAAAGCUUCUGGAAGACUUACUAAAGAAAACUAUGUUUUGCUUUCCCCACAGAAGCCUGAAUCAAAGGCAUCAGCCACUUGCCCUGUGGGGUGAGCCUGCCUGAGGGUCCCACUCUGCCCUGCUAGUAAGGAGACACAGGAUAUUCCCAUCACUGUUCCAGAGCCACAUGUGGCUGUGCCAAGGCAGAGGAAAUACAAAGGACCUUCCCUGGCCAAGCACUUUUGCCCCUUGGUUCCCAGGCUCCUGGAGCAGUCAGCCUUUGAGGUCUGCUGGUUUGGCUCUGUUGGGUGAUGAUGAUGGAUGCCACAUGUCAUCCAGGCUGCAGCUCUCUGGGGUGUUAUGAAGACUCUUGCUGGUGUCUGGAUUGUCUCCAAUCAGCCAGGUGUUCUUUCCAGGAGAGCUGACAGGCUCUGGUGUGGAGGACACACAGCUUUGUCCCAUAUGCCUCCCUUGACAGGGAAGCUGGUCAAGUGUCUCAUAAUGAGCUUGCUGUGUUCCUGCCCUGCAGACGGUUUGUUGGCUGUUGGCAAAGGCAGCCUGGGGAGAAGCUCUGCCUGGCUCCACUGCCCGUGGCUCUGCCACUGCCCUGCUGUGGAAAGCCUUUCCCUCUGGCCUCAGGCUGAUCUCCUCUGUAAGCAUCUCUUCCAGGACAUUCCUCUGCCCUCAUCAGAGGCACCUGCAGGGUGGCCAUUUGGGGACAUGUGCCCUGCCAGGCACAGGGACUCUCUGCUGAUGUGUUUGUACAUCCUCAGCUGUGGCUGGGGAAAAGAGAUGGAUGGGACAGUGAGUGUCAUCAGCAUGGGGAACAGGGCCAUGCCAGGAAGAUGGUCUGUGAUACUCUGAUUUGAUAUUCCAUGAUAGUAAAUCAAGCAGGAUGUACCACCCUGCAGCAUUUGGUGACAGUGGCAUUGCCCACCUGGGAAGUGUAUCUCCCACACACCGUAAGUGCUGCCAGAACUCAGAUAUAUGUGCAUCCUGUGCCAGCCAGGAGUGAUGCUCCAGGAAAGAGCCACCAAUGUUCCAACAGAAAUGUCCCCGUGUCACCCACCCAGGGCACUGAGGCCCUGCCACAAAGACGAGGUGCUCGGCUGUCUCGGUGACACCGCCUGUCCCAGGGCUGGGGACAGGACACGGCAGUGGGUGUUCUGGUCUCAGGUCACCGCACAACCUGGCAGCGCCCGCCCGGGGACUCAGCACGCUUUAAUGAGCUCAGCGCCAGAGCCUGCAUGGAGGAAUUAACAACUCGGAAUAAUGCUUGUCACUUUGCUGUGAGGAAAUUGUCAAGUGAAAAGCAAUUUACUAAAAAAGAGGGAGGAAAGAAAUGGUUUUGCUUAUUAAGAUCAACAUCAUAUUAAAGUAUUUUCUCAAUACCCCAUUUGAGUUGAAUUUUACAUUUUCUCUCUCUUGUUCUCACCAAUGGGAAUAAAGCAGGGGUUUCACUCUAAUUAAUUGUUGUCUGCUUCAUUUGGCCAGCAAAUUUCAUGAGCAAGGUUACACAUUUCUGUAGCAUUUGAAUUGCAAAUGCUGCAGGAAUAUGAUAAAAAAAGGAAAACAUGUUGAAUUCUAAAAGCAAAUGGGAACCUUUCUGUAAGACAUCAGUUUAAAAUUACUUUAUUUUUACAAAUCUUAAAAAUAUAUCUUGUCAGAGUA
Parus major (Great Tit) is the source of this 1848-nucleotide long non-coding RNA. RefSeq lists it as uncharacterized. The record is from RefSeq and is a predicted model, not a curated record. The transcript is spliced from 2 exons. Lineage: Eukaryota; Metazoa; Chordata; Aves; Passeriformes; Paridae.